AAUCAAUCACAGUUGGACAAGAUAAUCAUUCAAAUGGAUUCUCUUAUUUUGGAGAGAAUAUUAACAGGAAUAUAAAAAUAUCCAUGGAGCAUUGCAAACAUAGUGAAGGAUAUUGAGCAAUACAUGCAAGGCAAGAAAGUCAAGUAUCAACACAUUUACAGGGAAGAAAAUCAGUUAGCUGAUUAUCUUCCAAAUGUAGCCAUUGAUACAGGAGAGGUCAUCAUUACUAGUUUACAACAACUAUAACAGAAAGAAAAAGCCAUACUUAAAAGUGAUAAAUGGUGGUUCCCCUACUUGAGAAUUACAUCCAUAUGCAGUUAAAGGGCAAAGGAAGUCUUAGGCAGCAAAGUUUACAUGCAUCAUAUUUACAGGAAAUAAAAAUAGAAAAAGGAGAGCAUGUAGCUAGCCUAGUCUAUUACAGCCAACAAAUGGACUCUCAGCAUCAUGGGAGGAUCUAUGGAUCGAUUUGAGCUUCUUAAAUCUGACACCAAUAUCUUCGUGGGUCCAAGCAUCCUCUAUAUUCCUCCUUCCCAGAUCCAAACAUCAUAGGAUAAAAAGAGUAAGCUUCAGUGUCAGAGUGAAGAUCCGAGCUCAAAAAUGGAUAAAGGAAUAUUUACUUGAAGGUAGCAGCUUUGCAUAGUUGAUUAGAUCUCUCAGAGCUAAUAAAAAAGCUGGUCAAGGUCCCAUUCAGCGGAGAACUCAGCUAUUGAAGGUGUUUCAAUAGUAGGAGAAUAAUAAGAAGCAAAUUCAUCAAUAUAAAGGAAAUUCUACUUACUUUUGUAAGCUGAAUAAGCAAGUAGCACUUGAAGAAGAUGACACCUGUUUGAUGAUCCAAAAAAGAAGAAGGCAGAGCUCAAGGUUGAAGAAAGGCAGAUCCAUUUUAAGAGGAGGCGUGAAGUUAAUAGAGAUUAGGAAAAUGGGUGAUUUUGGAAACCCUACUGCCUUUUUGGGUCUUAAGAAAAUCCGGGUUGGACCGGGUCUUUCAAAUAGUAGUGGGCUUUUAAUUGUAAAAUGGGUUGGUCCGUUAAUUCUUGAAUAAUUUUUAAUAAAAUACCAAAUUAAACAAAAAAAAACUUUUAAUAUAGUAUAGAUUAGAGAUUGGAGAUAUAGAUUAUUAUUAUUAUUAUUACUACUACUACUAUUAUUAUUAUUAUUACUAUUACUAUUAUUGUCAUACCCCUUUUUAACUCCAAAAAGAUAUUAUUUUAAAGUUCGAAAGGGUUUUUAUUAUCAAAGUGACAAAAGAUAAAAAUUUAUUUCGAAAAGGACCUUUUAUAUUAAAAACUCAGAGGCGCCACUUGGCAUAAUCCGGUGUGCCAAAUCACCUUUGGAAAAUCCUUUUCAAAAUGAUUUGACUCUUUAAAACUGGUUUGCGAACAGAGAUUCCGGCUAAGAAUUUUGUUGAUCGACGGGAAGAUUUUAGGCACCCCUCGAUACCGUGGUUCGACCACGGUCACUGCGUAUCGGCUAAUUUGACACCAUGAAUGUAUAAAACCACACAAAAGCACGCAAAACAAUCAAUCAAGCAAACAAAAUGAAAAUAAUCCAAAAUUUGGUGUCCAGUCCAAUUUAUUACAUGCCGAAAUAGAAAAUACUGAAAUAAACCUACACUAACUUAU
Molecule: long non-coding RNA, 1619 nt
Filed under: Capsicum annuum
Lineage: Eukaryota; Viridiplantae; Streptophyta; Magnoliopsida; Solanales; Solanaceae
Description: long non-coding RNA (CANN_LNC022006)
Source: RNAcentral